GGUCUCAGUUCAGAUUGCAGGCUGCAACCCGCCUGCAUGAAGUCGGAAUUGCUAGUAAUCGUGGAUCAGCAUGCCACGGUGAAUACGUUCCCGGGCCUUGUACACACCGCCCGUCACACCAUGAGAGCCGGGAACACCCGAAGUCCGUAGUCUAACCUAUAUGGAGGACGCGGCCGAAGGUGGGUUUGGUAAUUGGGGUGAAGUCGUAACAAGGUAAC
This 218-nucleotide ribosomal RNA is filed under the name uncultured bacterium. Its description in RNAcentral is "partial 16S ribosomal RNA". It matches the Rfam family "Bacterial small subunit ribosomal RNA", at positions 1284 to 1500 of the family's 1533-position model. The record is from RNAcentral.